RNAcentral lists this long non-coding RNA (1087 nucleotides) under Vulpes vulpes (red fox). Its description in RNAcentral is "lncRNA (ENSVVUG00000000105.1)". Lineage: Eukaryota; Metazoa; Chordata; Mammalia; Carnivora; Canidae. The record is from RNAcentral.
CUCCAGAAGCUUCUCUGCAUUCCAAUCUCAAUCUCCCCGAAAAGGUAGCUUGGCUACCUGUGUGUCUUUAUGGUUUGCUUUUGUUUCCGUGAUGAUUUAUUAUACGAAAGAGGUGAAGCCUCAGCUUCCUGAACCCAGAACAACCCAUAAUUCAUUGAACCCACAGCAGAAAAGAUUAAAGUCAAACUGGGUAAAGAAUUUAGAAUACUGGAAAUCAGUGACACAGAGCUAGAAAGAAUAAGAAAAUUCCAUGCAGAUGUGGUUCUGGUCUGGGACAGGGAAAUAGAGAUCACCCCAGUCCUGGGGCUGCCCUCGAAGGCUGAGGCUGGCUGGGUAUCCCUUGCCUUUUCUGACCAACAGGCUGUUGAGGAGGUUUGGUGGGGGGUGGGGGGGUGGAGACAGGUGGCACUUCAUCCCACGGCGCCCUGACUGGCUGGUCUUGGAGGUCGCCUGAUGUCGUGACCCCUUCUUCUGUGAUCAGAGAUUUGCCCUGGCAGCCCUGUGGAGCAGGUCGGAGAGGAGAGAUGGAAGGUGGGCAGCGUUCUCCGGAGGCUACUGCGUGAUGUGCGGGGUCUGCAUAGAUGAUGAUGAGCAAGUAACGGCUGGCAUCGACCGAGGGCCUUCUAAGUGGCAGCCAGCGCUCUGGGCUCUCGCAGACAUUACUGUCUAGUCUUCACAGCUGCCCUGCUUGGUCUAACACAGGGCUCCCCACAGCUGCCGGCAGACCACACCUGUAGACACUCAACUAAGGCUUCUGGAAGGAACACAACGUUGCUCCCUACCCCCUUCUACGUCCCUGCUGUCCUUGGGCCUGAGCAGGGGGCACUUCCAGGCACGAUCCCCAGAAUUCCUGCAUUUCAGGUGUCCCUCCAACCGGCCCCUACCGUGGCCUCUCUAUACCCAGGCAGUUCUAUUACUGGAAAGGAGAUGGGGGUGAGGGCAGGACCUGCAGGGUGAGUAAUAGAUAAAGUCAUUUAAAAAAUGCCUGCAAAUGGUAAGCCUGUUAGCUGUUAUUCUUAUUAUAACUGGGCUCCAUGAAUGCAGAGCUUAGGGACUUUGGCACCAAUGACCAGGUUUAAAGAGGGAC